UACGGGGGGGGUAAGCGUUGUUCGGAAUUACUGGGCGUAAAGGGCUCGUAGGCGGCCAACUAAGUCAUACGCGAAAUCCCUCAGCUUAACUGGGGAACUGCGUCUGAUACUGGAUGGCUUGGAUUUGGGAGAGGGAUGCGGAAUUCCAGGUGUAGCGGUGAAAUGCGUAGAUAUCUGGAGGAACACCGGUGGCGAAGGCGGCAUCCUGGACCAAUAUUGACGCUGAGGAGCGAAAGCCAGGGGAGCAAACGGG
RNAcentral lists this ribosomal RNA (253 nucleotides) under uncultured bacterium. Its description in RNAcentral is "partial 16S ribosomal RNA". It matches the Rfam family "Bacterial small subunit ribosomal RNA", at positions 524 to 776 of the family's 1533-position model. The record is from RNAcentral.